AUGGGGUGGUGGGGGUAUAGUCCUUUUUUGAAGACUCCCAGUUCUGAAUGCUGCAGUCCAUGGGGGUCCAAAGAGUCAGACACGACUGAGCAACUGAACAACAACAACUUCCAUCCAGAACGACUGUGUUUGCAAGACACUAGAGAGAAACUCCUUUUGACUCUUGGAAACACAUGAGGCAAGCAUGAAAAUAUGGCCAAUGCUUUAAAAGAGAAAUGAAUACUUUCUCUUCUGGUUAGAAAGAUAAAUGCAGGUCAAUAAAGUUAAGUAAAUGUUAUACCUGUUUUAAGAGUGGUAUUGACCAUGGAAAUGCAAGUGCUACCCUAAUUAAAAGUGGCUGCUGGGAUGGUCAUGCAUUAUCUCGACUUGCUAGUGAAAUUACUUUCCUUUGUCUAAGCCUUCUUUCUAUGAGGGUAUUUCACACCAGAAAUGGCUAUAAACACCUAAAUUUCUGGAAGAUGCAGUCUACUUCUUUUCCCUGACAUCUUGCUAAAGAAAACAGAGAUUUAAUUCCCUUGCAUAUGACACAGAGUUAUAGUUACUUAAAAAUGUACUCUAAAUCCUGCAAGUUUGUUAUCUACUUGUUUGGUAAACAUUGGGCUUCCCUGGGUGGCUCAGACAGUAAAGAAUCUGCCUGCAAUGCAGGAGACCCAGGUU
This 657-nucleotide long non-coding RNA is filed under the name Capra hircus (goat). Its description in RNAcentral is "lncRNA (ENSCHIG00010015128.1)". Lineage: Eukaryota; Metazoa; Chordata; Mammalia; Artiodactyla; Bovidae. The record is from RNAcentral.